This 299-nucleotide ribosomal RNA is filed under the name uncultured bacterium. RNAcentral's name for it is "partial 16S ribosomal RNA". It matches the Rfam family "Bacterial small subunit ribosomal RNA", at positions 335 to 652 of the family's 1533-position model. The record is from RNAcentral.
GGCCUACGGGACGCAGCAGUGGGGGAUAUUGCACAAUGGGGGGAACCCUGAUGCAGCGACGCCGUGUGGGUGAAGAAGCGCCUCGGCGCGUAAAGCCCUGUCAGCAGGGAAGAAAAUGACGGUACCUGAAGAAGAAGCCCCGGCUAACUACGUGCCAGCAGCCGCGGUAAUACGUAGGGGGCAAGCGUUAUCCGGAUUUACUGGGUGUAAAGGGGGCGCAGACGGCGAUGCAAGCCAGGAGUGAAAGCCCGGGGCCCAACCCCGGGACUGCUUUGGAAACUGUGCAGCUGGAGUGCAGG